RNAcentral lists this unclassified non-coding RNA (300 nucleotides) under Glomeraceae sp. RNAcentral describes it as "partial contains 5.8S ribosomal RNA and internal transcribed spacer 2". The stretch from base 1 to 65 matches the Rfam family "5.8S ribosomal RNA", at positions 84 to 154 of the family's 154-position model. The record is from RNAcentral. Lineage: Eukaryota; Fungi; Glomeromycota; Glomeromycetes; Glomerales; Glomeraceae.
GUGAAUCAUCAAAUUUUUGAACGCAAAUUGCACUCUCUUUGGAGAGUAUGCCUGUUUGAGGGUCAGUAAUAAUAAAAUCGUGGUGUUGCUCUUUUGUGACACAACGGAGUUUUGUCUACCUUUAACUUUCGGGUUUAAGAGGCUUAAAAUUGAACUUUUUUUCGCACUUUUAGAUGUACAUAAAUUCUUUUUUUUAUUCGUCUAUCUUAAUGCUCAACAUCCCAUUAGAUGCGACUAUAUCGUGUUGUUUCGUGUCUAUAAAUUUUUCAUGAUUUGACCUCAAAUCAGGUAAUAGUACCC